This 484-nucleotide ribosomal RNA is filed under the name uncultured bacterium. RNAcentral's name for it is "partial 16S ribosomal RNA". It matches the Rfam family "Bacterial small subunit ribosomal RNA", at positions 30 to 507 of the family's 1533-position model. The record is from RNAcentral.
AUUGAACGCUGGCGGCAGGCCUAACACAUGCAAGUCGAGCGGAUGAAGGGAGCUUGCUCCUGGAUUCAGCGGCGGACGGGUGAGUAAUGCCUAGGAAUCUGCCUGGUAGUGGGGGAUAACGUCCGGAAACGGGCGCUAAUACCGCAUACGUCCUGAGGGAGAAAGUGGGGGAUCUUCGGACCUCACGCUAUCAGAUGAGCCUAGGUCGGAUUAGCUAGUUGGUGGGGUAAAGGCCUACCAAGGCGACGAUCCGUAACUGGUCUGAGAGGAUGAUCAGUCACACUGGAACUGGAACACGGUCCAGACUCCUAGGGGAGGAAGCAGUGGGGAAUAUUGGACAAUGGGCGAAAGCCUGAUCCAGCCAUGCCGCGUGUGUGAAGAAGGUCUUCGGAUUGUAAAGCACUUUAAGUUGGGAGGAAGGGCAGUAAGUUAAUACCUUGCUGUUUUGACGUUACCAACAGAAUAAGCACCGGCUAACUUCGUG